This is a long non-coding RNA of Lolium rigidum, 693 nucleotides long. RefSeq lists it as uncharacterized. The transcript is spliced from 3 exons. Lineage: Eukaryota; Viridiplantae; Streptophyta; Magnoliopsida; Poales; Poaceae. The record is from RefSeq and is a predicted model, not a curated record.
CACACGCCUGAAUCUGCUCCGCCGCCAUUGCCGGAAGCAUCGGAAAGCUUCAAGCGGCGCGCAUCUCUUGGGACCGUGCACCCGUCCCCACCUCCACCCCCACCCUCCGUCUCCUACUCCCCUGUUCUAGUCCCCCACGACUACCUAGCUCCGCCACCACCAUUCCCCACACUCCCGUCUCCAAAGCUCCAGAUCUUGUCGCCGGUUCCCUUUUUACUUCUGAUAUUUGCUUUAGAUACCCCUCCGUCAAGAUCCCGCGUGCCACAUCGAAGAUCUACAACGCGGUGUUCCCCUGUGGCGGAUCAAAAGAGGAAGACAACGAUUCAAUCUCGUCUCUCCCAAGCGACGACGACUUGGCGGGCACGGAGAUGGAACCUGAGGACCAUUAAUACAUCUACAACACUACUGGUAGCCUUUCUCAGGGGAAGACAUCUUCUGAGGUAAAGGUCACGAGAAGGAAUCUUGCCUUCCUGGGUGCGGGACCAGUGGAGUAAAGAGCUGGGUUGCACGUGGGGAAGGCAUCUUCUGAGCGCUUUGGAUUGAGGAAAACAACCUGCAGAUUGCGUUUGAGCAGAAGGAGCCCAAACUGAAGACGAGGGAGCUCAAGCUGAAGGAAGUGAUCGGGAACAACAGCGAGAAAGCCUCGCGAACUUUUAAUGUGUAUGCCAAUGUGUGCAUCUCUGCUCUCAGCGU